CCAAUCUUGCUUCCAAGAGCAGCUUUAUUCCAAAUAAUCCACAGGUCAAAAUGUAAAUGAUGAAUUCUCCACUGCUUACUUCGGACUAGCCAGUUGGUCCUGCCUAUGCUGCUGACAUAGCUUCAUGUGCCUUUGAGUCCAACAUAAGACAAAACAAAUUCCACGUUUGCAUCUCUUUGAAACUCCAUUGCCUGUGACUACUUGAUAUGGUUUGGCUGUGUCCUUACCCAAAUCUUAUCUGAAAUUUUAAUCUAAAUUGUAAUCCCCAGGUGUCCAGGGAGGGACCUGGUGGGAGGUGAUUGGAUCAUGGGAACGGAUUUCCCCCUUGCUCUUCUUGUGAUAGGAGUGAGUUCUCACGAGACCUGAUGGUUUUAUAAGAGGCUCUUCCCCUUCCCUCCCUCUCUCUCUCUCUCUCUCUCUCUCGCUGCCUUGUGAAGAAGGUGUCUGCUUCCCCUUCAUCUUCCGCCAUGAUUGUUAAAUUUCCUGAGGCCUCCUCAUCCAUAUGGAACUGAACCAUGAUAGUGUUUGGUACAUAGAGGACACUGGAAAUGGUUUUCUUAACUGAACAAGUGACUAGAAUAAAGGAAUUAAUGAACGACAUCAGAGCUGAAAUCCCAAACCAUAAAUCAUAAAAGGAUCAGACAGCAAAGAGUACUCAACAAAUAUUACCUUGAUUUGAAGAACAUGCUGCUUCUUGGAUUUACUUUUAUCUACAGAACAAACUGGACAAUGAUUUCCAUGUCAUAAAGCUUUCAAUGAUUUGGCUCCAAACUUUCUUUUCAAUAUCAUCAUCUAUAGCUUCUUUCAUCUACAUACCCUCUGAUUCCAUAACAGUGAACAUGGCAUAAACUUUCAAGAAAAUCUUGUGCCUUUGUCUACAUAAUCUCUUAACAUGGAAUUUCCGUUUUUUUCUGAUUAUUUUUCAUCUUUCAAGACUAAGCUGAAAUGCUCUACAUCUUGAAUGUUUUACAUUUUCUUCAGUGUGAGCUAUUUACUACUACUUUCACAUUUUUGCAACUCUAAUAUGUCAACAAAAUUCAUUCUAGUAUUUUGCAGUAAUAUUGUAGAUGCUUAAAAUAAAUGAUGAAUGAAUUCAUAACAGUCAAAGAUUUUCUAAAAGAUAUGGAAAUAAUUAUUCAUAUAAGUGUCAUAUCCUUUGACUUAAAAUUUUAAUAAAGGAUUAAAAUUUAUUUUUCUCAACACUGAAUUUCAGUAAUAUGUAUUAUCUCCUUUUUUUCAGCUUUUAUUUUGGAUACAGAGGGUACACGUGCGGGUUUGUUACAUGGGCAUAUUGUGUAACACAGGCUUGGAGUACAGAUGAUCCUGUCACCAAGGUAGUGAGCAUAGGCGGUUUUUCGGCCAACACCCCCUCCUCCCUCUAUCCUAUAAGGGUCCCAUAUUUACAUCAGUGUGUACCCAAUAUUUAUUUCCCACUUAUAAACGAGGACGUGGUAUUUAGUUUUCUGUUCCUGUGUUAAUUCACUUAGGACAAUGGCCUCCUGCUGCAUUCAUGUUGCUGCAAAGGACAUGAUUUUCUUCUUUUAUGGCUGUUUAGUAUCCCAUGAUGCGUAUAUGUACCACAUACUUUAUCCAAUACACCAUAAAUGGAUAUUAGGUUGAUUCCAUGUCUUUGCUCUGGUGAAUAUCACUGCAAUGAACAUAUGAGUUCAUGUGACUUUUUGGUAGAAUGAUUUAUUUUCCUUUGGGUAUAUACCCACUAAUUGGAUUGCUGGGUCUAAUGGUAAUUCUGUUUUAUUUAGAGGUCUUUGAAAAAUCUCCAAACUACUUUCCAUGGUUGCUGAACUAAUUUACAUUCCCACUAACAGUGUAUAAACAUUCCCUUUUUUUUCAAAGCCUUGCUAGCAUAUGUUAUUUAUUUUAUUUUAUUUAUUUUAUUUUUUGACUUUUUAAUGAUCUACAUUCUGACUGCUAUGAGUUGGCAUCUCAUCAUGGUUUUGAUUUGCAUUUCUCUGACGAUUAGUGAUGAUUAACAUUUUUUCAUUUGCUUGUUGGUCCCUUAAAUACCUUCUUUUGAGAAGUAUCUUUUUAUGCCCUUUGCUCAUUUUUUACUUGGAUUAUUUGUUUUCUUCUUUUUGAUUUGUGUAAGUUCCUCAUAGAUUCUGAAUGUUAGCUAUGAAGUUAUCAUCAUCCUGAUACCAAAAUCUGGCAGAGACAAAAAAAAAAAAAAGAAAGAAAAGAAAACUACAGGCCAAUAGAUAAACCUAGACACAAAACCCUCAAAAAAAUAAUAACAAGUUGAAUCCAGUAGCACAUCAAAAAGUAAGUUCACCACAAUCAAGUAAGCUUAUUCCUGGGAUGCAAGGUUGGUUCAAUAUAUGCAAAUCAGUACAUGUGAUUCACCACAUAAACAGAAUCAAAACCAAAAUCUGUAUGAUCAUCUCAACAGACACAGAUUAAGCUUUUGGUAAAACCCAGCUUACUUUCAUGAUCAAAAUCCUCAACAGACUAGGCAGCAAAGGAACAGACCUAAAAAUAUUAAGGGGCAACCAGGACAAAUGCACAGCAAAUAUCAUAUUGAUCAGGCAAACGCUAGAAGCAUUCUCCCUGAGAACUGGCACAAGACAAGGACACCCAUUUUCACUGCUCCUAUUCAACAUAGUCCUAGCCAGAGCAAUCAGGUAAGAGAAAAAUAAAAGGCUUGGGAGGCCAAGGCAGGCGGAUCACGAGGUCAGGAGAUCAAGACCAUCCUGGCUAACACAGUGAAACACGGUCUCUACCAAAACUACCAAAACUUAGCUAAGCAUGGUGGUGGGCGCCUGUAGUCCCAGCUACUUGGGAGGCUGAGGCAGGAGAAUGGCUUGAACCCGGGAGGCAGAGCUUGCAGUGAGUGGAGACCACACCACUGCACUUCAGCCUGGGCGACAAAGCGAGACUCCAUCUCAAAAAAAAAAAAAGAAAAAAAAGAAAAAGGCAUCCUCAACAAACUAACAGGAACAGAAAACCAAACACCACAUGUUAUCACUCAUAAGUGGGAGUUGAACAAUGAGAACACAUGGACACAGGCAGGGGAACAACACUCACCUGGGCCAGUUGGGGGUAGGGGACAAGGCAAAGGAGAGCAUUAGGACAAUUAGCUAAUGCAUGAUGGGCUUAAAACUUAGAUGACAGGUUAAUAGGUGCAGUAAACCACCAUGACACACGUAUACCUGUGUAACAAACCUGUGCGUUCUGUAUUUGUAUCCCAGAACAUAAAGUAAAAUGAAUAAAUAUAAUUUUUAUGAAAAAAUAAGAAAUUAACCUAUCUAUCUUUGCUGAUUAUAUGAUUAUUUGCCUAGGAAACCUUAACGACUCCACCAAAAGGCUUGUAUACCCAGGAAACAACUUCAGUAAACUUUCAUGAUACAAAAUCACUGUACAAAAAUCAGUAGCAUUUCUACACACCAAUAAUGACUUAACUGAAAGCCAAAUCAAGAGCACAAUGGCAUUUACAAUAGCCACAUCAAAAAAAAAUGAACUAUCUGGGAAUACAUCUAACCAAGGAGGUGGAAGAUCUCUAAAAAGAACUACAAAACACUGCUGAAAGAAAUAAGAAAUAUCAAAAAUAAAUGGAAAAAAUAUUCCAUGCUCAUGGAUUGGAAGAAUCUGUAUCAUUAAAAUGGCCAUACCAUUCAAAGCAAUCUACAGAUUCAAUGCCAUUCCUAUCAAAAUACCAAAAUUAUUUUUCACAGAAGUAGAAAAAUUUUUUUUUACAAUUUGUACAGAACCAGAAAAGAACUAAUGCAAUCCUAAGAAAAAAAAAAAGGAAACCAAAGCUGAAGGCAUCAUGUUAUCUGAAUUCAAACUAUACUAUAAGACUACAGUAACAAAAACAGCAUGGUACUGAUACAAAAACAGACACAUACACCAGUGGAAAAUAAUAGAGAAUCCAGAAAUGGAGGUACAUACCUGAAACCAUGUGUUCUUCAACAAAAUUGACAAAAGUAAGCACUGGGAAAAGGACUCCCUAUCCAAUAAAUGGUGCUGGGACAACUAGAUAGCCAUAUAAAAAUACAGCUGAACCCCUAUCUUUCACCAUGUACAAAAAUUAACUCAAGAUGGACUAAAGAUUUAAAUGUAAGACCUCUAAUUAUAAAAAUCCCAGAAGAAAACUUAGGAAAUACUCUUCUUGACAUCGACUUUGGCAAAGAAUUUAUGUUUAUGUCCUGAAAAGCAAUUGCAACAAAAACAAAAAUUGACAAGUGAGAUAUAAUUAAACUAAAGAGCUCCCACACAGCAAAAGACAUUUCAACACAGUAAACAAAGAGAGCCUACAAAAUGGGAGAAAAUAUUCACAAACUAUGCAUUCAACGAAGGUCUAUUAUUUCUCUUCUAAUGGGAACGCUUCAUGAUCACUGUGAUCAGGUCUUAUUUUUGUGUAUGUCACAAGCCUUAUUACAAUAUUGAAUAUACAGUAGUUCUUUAAAAUCAUGAUGAAUAAAUGAAUAAUCAUCAUGAUAACUUAGUAUACAUGUAUCGUGCCCUCUUUUGUUUGUGAUGAAGUUGAUGAUGUAUACUCAUGACUAUGGGCCUUUAUCCUAAUGCAUCAACCUUCAUUUCCUCUCUAUUUACUUAGACCAAUUACCAGUUUCACUGUAAAACCCCAGGUGCUAUAAUUAUUAUUAUUUUUUGCCUGUACUGUAGCAUACCUAGCACAGAGAUAGAGUUGACUUUUUUAUGACUACCCAACAAGUAUUCCUUAAGUUGAAGAAGGCAGUAAAAUUGCAUGCAGUGAAUAGAUCUCAAAUAUUUGGUACUUGUAAUAGUAGAGGCUUUAAAAAGUUUGGUAUUUUUAUUCUUUUAUUACUUCCCAGUCCCAAUCUCUGAUGCAGCUGGGAUAAAUUUUCCAAUAGCCUAAAGCAGCCCACCUCUUCUUUCUCACCCCACCAUACAUAUAUGCACACACACAGGCUGAGUCACAUGUUUGGUGAAAAUAUUUAGGUCAAAAUAAUAUCUUCAUCUGACUACUACACAAAGCUAUUAGUCAUUAAAAGUCGGGUACGUACAUGAAGUUAAUGUUAUAAUUUUACAAAUUAGAAAACAAAUUUUUCUGUAGGGAUGUAGACCAAGAGCAAUCCACUCAAAUACUUGUAUCUCUAUAUUCUGAGAGCUGUCCUGAAAAGAGAAGGCUCACUAAAAUUAUGUGUGUGUAUGCCUAUAAAAGAAAUAUACAUACAUACACUCACAUACACACAAAUAUAAUGCAUGCAUAUGUUAAUGUUUAUAUAUGCAUGUAUAUACAUUUUAAAUUAAAUUCCAUUAAUUUGCACAGGUCUGAUAAUAUUAGGAUUCAAUGGUAGUAGAUGGUAGAGUAUAUAUGCUUAGCCAUGCUUCUACAGUUGUGUCAGACACUGUUUUAAUACCAGUUAGUAACUCACUGUUCACCAUAAAAUGAAAAAGAAACUGAAGAGAUUGAUGCAAGCAUAGAGUUCCUCCCCCAUAAGUGAUAAGGUAGGAAUUGUCUCAAGAAACAAAUCAACAUUUUAUCAAAAAUACAUACAGCCAAACAGCUAUAAUUCUCUACUGUGUUUUUCUUCCAUAAAAGUCUGUCAUGGGAAUGUGAUGCACCUAUAUUACAAAUCAAUCCAAGGCCAUUUCAAGGUUAUACUCACUCUCUGGGGCAUUGAGCUAAUGAAUUUGAGUGACUUUAUUCAUUAUAUAAAAUUUAUUACAUACUCAUUUAGUAUUGCACAUACGUUUCUCUUAAAGAUAAUACAAAACACAAUAAAUAACAUAUAAGAUAUUCAUGAUAAAGACAAAACUCAAUUAGUGUUAAUCAUAGUUCUUUCACAGAAAGUAGAAAUCUACCACAGUAACACAUAUAGAAAAGGUACUAAAUAAUAUCCAUUUGAUAAAUAAGUAGCAUACCCUAUGCAAUGUAUAAAAGACUGAAUAAACAAAUAGAAGAAGAAAUGCAGAAGGAGGAUAAAUUAAUUAUGUUUUUAGAAUUAUGUUUUUAGAAGGCAGUGCAAAAGAAACUUCCUAAAAGAGCUGGCUCUUGAUUUGAGCCUUAAAAGAUGCCUUAAAGUUCUUGAUGAUGAAUAUGGUUUUGGAAAGGUAGAAAAAUAUUCCAUUACUUGAGGUAUGAAAGUAACCCAUGUAUGGAAUUAUAAAUGUGACUACCUCUCUAAUAGAACAUUUGAAGGGUAGUAUGAAUUGUGGUUAAAGGGU
This 6168-nucleotide long non-coding RNA is filed under the name Homo sapiens (human). Its description in RNAcentral is "HSALNT0070923". Lineage: Eukaryota; Metazoa; Chordata; Mammalia; Primates; Hominidae. The record is from RNAcentral.